RNAcentral lists this long non-coding RNA (330 nucleotides) under Homo sapiens (human). RNAcentral's name for it is "HSALNT0301126". The record is from RNAcentral. Lineage: Eukaryota; Metazoa; Chordata; Mammalia; Primates; Hominidae.
GCUGCUUUCCAUGACCUGGAUGUUGAAGUCCAAAGAGGUGAACAAUGGAAAGACAUCAGCUGUGAGUCAGUGGGGAGUGUCUGAGGAUGGAGGCGCUAUGGCUCCCUGGAGAUCUCUUGGUGUGUCCACAUGCCGGGUGGGUCCACGGACAGGAGCUCUUCUGGUGCUUCCCUCACUCCCCACCCGACCCAUGCAGUACCCACCCUCUGCAGCUGGGCCCUCCAGCUGGCUCAGCUCAGCCCUGUUUCAUGUUUAGUCGGUCUUUGAUCUUCACUCUUUAACUAAAGCCAGAGCCAGGUGAAACCUGAUUUUAUCCUUUUCUCAAAUGUG